Long non-coding RNA from Polypterus senegalus (gray bichir), 982 nucleotides. RefSeq lists it as uncharacterized. NCBI's taxonomy places the organism in Eukaryota, Metazoa, Chordata, Cladistia, Polypteriformes, Polypteridae. The transcript has 4 exons. The record is from RefSeq and is a predicted model, not a curated record.
UCUAUUUUUGGGGCCCUAAUAUACUUAAGUACAAUAGUGUCUUUGGCGAUGCCUGCACUAAAUUAGAAAUCAUCGCAGUUCGUAUUCUUCCUCGGGGCCAGCUCAGCUUUCUGUUAUGUAAUGGUACAUAUCUGUUCUAAGCAAUCUGAAACUCGUCGUAAAUGCUACACACAACGUAAACGACUCAUGUACUGUUCUGUAGGAAAAGAAGACAAAGAACCCCUGACCAUUAUUUUUAACAUACACACACGCUUCUGCUUAACUCCAAGACAAGGUCUACGGAGCAGCAAAUUGCGCCAGUCAAGAAAACACAGUCGGUAACACAGAGCUGAUUUGUGACAGCAAAAAGUCAAGUAGCUCAUCAACUGCUUGUGAGAACAUAAUAGACUGCAUGGAGAAAAUUCAGACAGGCAGUAACAGGGCAGGACUGCAAACUCGGAAUUGGAAUUUCUAGUGUUAGCGUUGAACCCGUGCAACUUUAUUAACUCGAUCUAAUCAUUUUAGGAUACCAGGUUUUACAUGAAGCACAAAACGGCAGAAAGGUUAUAGGACAAAUUGAAAAGAAUAAAAGUUUCCCGGUCAGAAAUUUCACAUGAAAGCCUUUGGAAGUGAAAGCCCUUAAUUGGAUUGGACAAUGUGCAAAAAAACAAUGCUACUCAAAUUAUCAGAAUUGUGAGCUUCAGAUAUGGUUUUUUUCUUUAAUACCCUGACUCUUAAGGCCAGCAUCUCUGAAUCAUCUUUUCCUUGUUGAAGAUGGCACUGGUAUUUGACCAAAUGCGAGAAAUUCCGUCUGGCUCCGAUGAAGACAUCAAUUCUAGUUCUGCCCCAGAAGAUGUCACUUCCGGUUCCACCCCAAGAGACGUCACUUGCAGUUUCACAUUCCAAGAACACAGCCUGAUUAUGUCAUUUCUGGUUCCAGUCCCAAGAUCCCCCCUCUUCCUGCUGUUCAACUAUAUAUAAAUCCGCCAUGUUUCCUAACCUG